GACAGAGGUGCCAAGCGUUAGGCGGAAUCACUGGGCUUAAAGCGUGUGUAGGCGGAAUGGUAAGUACCUUGUGAAAUCCCACGGCUCAACCGUGGAACUGCUUGGUAUACUGGGUGUCUUGAGCCAUCUAGGGGCUACCGGAACAAAUGGUGGAGCGGUGAAAUGCGUAGAUAUCAUUUGGAACGCCAAUGGUGAAAACAGGUAGCUGGGGAUGUGCUGACGCUGAGACACGAAAGCCAGGGGAGCAAACGGG
Molecule: ribosomal RNA, 253 nt
Filed under: uncultured bacterium
Lineage: Bacteria
Description: partial 16S ribosomal RNA
Rfam family: Bacterial small subunit ribosomal RNA
Source: RNAcentral